Molecule: ribosomal RNA, 474 nt
Filed under: uncultured bacterium
Lineage: Bacteria
Description: bacterial SSU rRNA
Rfam family: Bacterial small subunit ribosomal RNA
Source: RNAcentral
ACGCUGGCGGCGUGCCUAACACAUGCACGUCAACUUGACUGAAGGAGCAAUCUGACAGUAGAGUGGCGCAAGGGUGCGUAACGCGUAAGUAACUUGCCCAAGGUAAGGAAUAACGUCGAGAAAUCGGCGCUAAUACCUCAUAAUGCAGCGGAUCCGCAUGGAUAUGUUGUUAAAGGUUUACCGCCUUGGGAUAGGCUUGCGUCUGAUUAGCUAGUUGGUGUGGUAACGGCACACCAAGGCUACGAUCAGUAACUGGUCUGAGAGGAUGAUCAGUCACACUGGAACUGAGACACGGUCCAGACUCCUACGGGAGGCAGCAGUGAGGAAUAUUGGGCAAUGCUCGAAAGAGUGACCCAGCAACGCCGCGUGGAGGAUGAAGGUAUUCUAUAUCGUAAACUCCUGUGAGAGCAGACGAAAGACAGAUUAUUAAUCUGGAUGACUGUAUGCUCAGAGGAAGCCCCGGCUAACUACGUG